RNAcentral lists this ribosomal RNA (524 nucleotides) under Chondropoma auberianum. RNAcentral's name for it is "partial 16S small subunit ribosomal RNA". It matches the Rfam family "Bacterial large subunit ribosomal RNA", at positions 1807 to 2609 of the family's 2925-position model. Lineage: Eukaryota; Metazoa; Mollusca; Gastropoda; Littorinimorpha; Annulariidae. The record is from RNAcentral.
ACAAAAACAUGUCUCUUUGAUUUUUGAUUGUAAAGAGUUUGACCUGCCCAGUGAAUGUUAAUAUUUUAACGGCCGCAGUACUUUGACUGUGCGAAGGUAGCAUAAUUAUUUGCCUUAUAAUUGAAGGCUUGUAUGAAUGGUUUGACGAGAAUAAAUCUGUCUUUUAUAAAUUUUUUUGAAUUUAACUUUUAAGUGAAGAGGCUUGGAUUUUAUUGAUAGACAAGAAGACCCUAUCGAGCUUUAAUUUUUUAUAUAAGUUUGUAUUUAUAUAUUAUUUGUAAAUUUUAGUUGGGGUGACUAAGGAAUAAUAUUAAUUUCCUUAAUUUUUAAUUUAAAUUUAUUUAUUUUGAUCCAUUGUUGAUGAUUAUUAGAAUUAGUUACCGUAGGGAUAACAGCAUAAUCUUUUUUUAGAGUUCGUAUUGAGAAAAGGGUUUGUGACCUCGAUGUUGGAUUAAAAUUUCCUAAGGGUGUAGAAGUUUUUAAGGGUUAGUCUGUUCGACUAUUAAAAUUUUACAUGAGCUGAG